Molecule: ribosomal RNA, 253 nt
Filed under: uncultured bacterium
Lineage: Bacteria
Description: partial 16S ribosomal RNA
Rfam family: Bacterial small subunit ribosomal RNA
Source: RNAcentral
UACGUAGGGUGCAAGCGUUGUCCGGAAUUAUUGGGCGUAAAGAGCUCGUAGGUGGCCUGUCGCGUCGGCUGUGAAAACUCGGGGCUCAACUCCGAGCUUGCAGUCGAUACGGGCAGGCUAGAGUUCGGCAGGGGAGACUGGAAUUCCUGGUGUAGCAGUGAAAUGCGUAGAUAUCGGAAGGAACACCUGUGGCGAAAGCGGCUCACUGGACCAUUACUGACGCUGAGGCACGAAAGCUAGGGGAGCAAACAGG